CUCGUCAUAACAUUUCACACACUCAGCGCGCAUAUCUGUGCAUAAUUAUGACACUUUCAAGGUUGCACAUUUACCAAGCUUCUAGCUGGCGAGUAACCUGUCCAGACAACUGCCCCGUAGCUACUGAGCCUGACGAGUUACACGUCUCCGGACUGCCAUAGGGUCUCAGAAUGGUGAUUUCUGCCUUUGGGUUCAAUUCUGAACCUGGAAUGCUGCUGGCUCUGCCCGUACCGGAAAAGUGCUUUCCGGUACGGCGGUGUCAGGAGGUGGUAUCUACGUCGUCUUAGGGGCAACCCUAAGACCAAGGGGAUGAACGAAUACAUAUACACUUUCUGUUUCUUGGCUGCAGCAAGUGUUGUCCUGGGCGCAACGUUGAUGGCCUGAUGCCGACGCGACCUCCUUUACGACAAUGCUAGGCAAACGUAGCGGAUGUUCAUGAAUUACUUAAGCGUUCAUAUUACUCGUCACAGCUUCAACGGCACUGUACUGGGCGGAUGUAAGACGUGCGUUGGUGGACGCGAUGGCUUUACGAAGGGGGAGAAAGACGCUUAGGAGAUGCUUGGAUUGUUAUGUACAAGUCACGGACGGGGACGUUUAACUCUAUGAAUGCUGAAUUUUAGCUACUAGUCGGGUUUUUUGAACUUCGCUGUUGUUGGUUCCGCCCGUACAGGAAAAGUGUCUUCUGAUACGGCGGUCACAGCAGGUAGUAUCCGCGUCGACUUGUAUGCAAACCAAAUACAACGAAACCAGGGGAUGAUAUGACAGUUCUGGAAUGCUUGUUUCUUGGCCGCAAGCAGCAGCAUACUUAGAUCGCGUUGGGCCAUUUGCCCAGGCUGCCGCAAGGACGACAAGCCAGGCUAAUGCAGCUGGUGUCCAUGAAGGGUUCAUUGCGUGCUGAAUAUGAAAGAUUGCCACAAAGACUCUGGCCCUGACGGAUGUGCAUUGUAAGGAAGGAAACGGAUGAAGAGUUAGCUCCGCGGUGCAUGGAACGCUAAGUAAGGAUGAUGGACUGUAAGCGUUAAUAUUCGGAGCAGGGAUUUCUGUCUUUUCGCUCGGUUCUGAAAGUCUAACGUCGAUUGCGCAUCCCGUUUGUUCGGGGAACGUACUUAGAUCUGAUACGGCUCACCCUAUUAGCAAUAAUGCUUUCUAUGCUUGCAUAACCAUUUUGCAAACACAGACCAUUAUGCCAAAUCUUUGCUGUAAUGCCUCUGGCCCAGAUGACAUUGCAUGUGCAACAUGUCAAAUAAACUCUGCUGCCC
This 1259-nucleotide long non-coding RNA is filed under the name Volvox carteri. RNAcentral describes it as "long non-coding RNA (VCAR_LNC004267)". The record is from RNAcentral. Lineage: Eukaryota; Viridiplantae; Chlorophyta; Chlorophyceae; Chlamydomonadales; Volvocaceae.